RNAcentral lists this ribosomal RNA (297 nucleotides) under uncultured Hydrogenophaga sp. Its description in RNAcentral is "partial 16S ribosomal RNA". It matches the Rfam family "Bacterial small subunit ribosomal RNA", at positions 1074 to 1382 of the family's 1533-position model. The record is from RNAcentral. Lineage: Bacteria; Pseudomonadati; Pseudomonadota; Betaproteobacteria; Burkholderiales; Comamonadaceae.
UGGUUAGUCCGCAACGAGCGCAACCCUUGCCAUCAGUUGCUACGAAAGGGCACUCUGAUGGGACUGCCGGUGACAAACCGGAGGAAGUGGGGAUGACGUCAAGUCCUCAUGGCCCUUAUAGGUGGGGCUACACACGUCAUACAAUGGCCGGUACAAAGGGCAGCCAACCCGCGAGGGGGGAGCCAAUCCCAUAAAGCCGGUCGUAGUCCGGAUCGCAGUCUGCAACUCGACUGCGUGAAGUCGGAAUCGCUAGUAAUCGUGGAUCAGUAUGUCACGGUGAAUACGUUCCCGGGUCUU